This 405-nucleotide long non-coding RNA is filed under the name Numida meleagris (helmeted guineafowl). RNAcentral describes it as "lncRNA (ENSNMEG00000006606.1)". The record is from RNAcentral. Lineage: Eukaryota; Metazoa; Chordata; Aves; Galliformes; Numididae.
CACCACCCAAGUUGGUGAGAGUGGUUAAUAUGAAGUGAGGGCUGCAGCUUCACCCCUGACCUGUGAAUUCUCUCCUGCUACGGGGAUUGAGCUCUGGUCCCUCAGGCACUACAAGAAGGUGGUUUCAGCCUCAUUUUUCACUGGUAGUGACUGGAAUGACCAAUCUGCUGCCUGCUGAGGAGCAAAAGCUUCCAUUUGUUAGCUCAGCCCCUGUGAGGCAGGCUGAGGUGUUUGCUUGCAGCACGUGUCCUCCCCAUGAGCAAGAUGUGAGGAGCUGAACUAAUUUGGGAUCGUGGAGGUGUUGACUGCAGACUGCAACUUGUAAUCUCCUUGGCUCCUGCUCUCUUGUGUCUGAGGCCAGAGUUCUCAGGGCUCUGGGGGUUUACCUGGCAACCAAACCUCUGC